This 460-nucleotide ribosomal RNA is filed under the name uncultured bacterium. Its description in RNAcentral is "partial 16S ribosomal RNA". It matches the Rfam family "Bacterial small subunit ribosomal RNA", at positions 338 to 795 of the family's 1533-position model. The record is from RNAcentral.
CCUACGGGUGGCAGCAGUGAGGAAUAUUGGUCAAUGGACGAGAGUCUGAACCAGCCAAGUCGCGUGAAGGAUGACUGCCCUAUGGGUUGUAAACUUCUUUUAUAUGGGAAUAAAAUGUUCCCCGUGUGGGAUUUUGUAUGUACCAUAUGAAUAAGGAUCGGCCAACUCCGUGCCAGCAGCCGCGGUAAUACGGAGGAUCCGAGCGUUUUCCGGAUUUAUUGGGUUUAAAGGGAGCGGAAGUGGGGUGUUAAGGCAGUUGUGAAAGUUGGUGGCUCAAACGUAAAAUUGCAGUUGAAACUGGCAGUCGUGAGUACGGUAGAGGUAGGCGGAAUGCGUGGUGUAGCGGUGAAAUGCUGAGAUAUCACGAAGAACUCCGAUUGCGAAGGCAGCUCACCGGACUGCAACUGACACUGAGGCUCGAAAGUGUGGGUAUCAAACAGGAUUAGAUACCCGAGUAGUC